RNAcentral lists this transfer RNA (74 nucleotides) under Gemmatimonadales bacterium. RNAcentral describes it as "tRNA-Val". It matches the Rfam family "tRNA". Rfam says of the family: Transfer RNA (tRNA) molecules are approximately 80 nucleotides in length. Lineage: Bacteria; Pseudomonadati; Gemmatimonadota; Gemmatimonadia; Gemmatimonadales. RNAcentral also lists the same sequence under 4 other names. The record is from RNAcentral.
GGGCGGUUAGCUCAGUUGGUUAGAGCGCCACGUUGACAUCGUGGAGGUCACAAGUUCGAAUCUUGUACCGCCCA